Molecule: ribosomal RNA, 500 nt
Filed under: uncultured bacterium
Lineage: Bacteria
Description: partial 16S ribosomal RNA
Rfam family: Bacterial small subunit ribosomal RNA
Source: RNAcentral
AUUGAACGCUGGCGGCAUGCCUUACACAUGCAAGUCGAACGGCAGCACGGGAGCAAUCCUGGUGGCGAGUGGCGAACGGGUGAGUAGUACAUCGGAACGUGCCUAGUAGUGGGGGAUAGCCCGGCGAAAGCCGGAUUAAUACCGCAUACGACCUGAGGGUGAAAGCGGGGGAUCGCAAGACCUCGCGCUAUCAAAGCGGCCGACGCCAGAUUAGGUAGUUGGUGGGGUAAAAGCCUACCAAGCCGACGAUCUGUAGCUGGUCUGAGAGGACGACCAGCCACACUGGGACUGAGACACGGCCCAGACUCCUACGGGAGGCAGCAGUGGGGAAUUUUAGACAAUGGGCGCAAGCCUGAUCCAGCCAUGCCGCGUGCAGGAAGAAGGCCUUCGGGUUGUAAACUGCUUUUGUCAGGGAAGAAAAGUUCUGGGCUAAUACCCCGGAGCGAUGACGGUACCUGAAGAAUAAGCACCGGCUAACUACGUGCCAGCAGCCGCGGUAA